Molecule: ribosomal RNA, 186 nt
Filed under: Triticum aestivum (bread wheat)
Lineage: Eukaryota; Viridiplantae; Streptophyta; Magnoliopsida; Poales; Poaceae
Description: partial small subunit ribosomal RNA
Source: RNAcentral
AGAAGGAAGGUUGUCGCCUCGCUCAUUAUGCAAGUAACCCGGGAGCUUUGGAAUGAGAUAAAUGCUCGAGUUUUCCGUGACAAAGCGACGUUGCCCACAAUCAUCUUUGAUAACAUCAAGUCGGAAGCGAGGAAUUGGGUCCUCAUUGGGGAAAACCAUUUGAGCUCUUUGAUGCCGCGAGAGUAG